GCGAUUGUGGCGAAGUGGUUAACGCACCUGAUUGUGGUUCAGGCAUUCGUGGGUUCGAUUCCCAUCAGUCGCC
Bacillus sp. B-jedd is the source of this 73-nucleotide transfer RNA. It matches the Rfam family "tRNA". Rfam says of the family: Transfer RNA (tRNA) molecules are approximately 80 nucleotides in length. Their secondary structure includes four short double-helical elements and three loops (D, anti-codon, and T loops). The record is from Rfam. NCBI's taxonomy places the organism in Bacteria, Bacillati, Bacillota, Bacilli, Caryophanales, Bacillaceae.